AAAAGAACUUUGGAGAGAGAGUUAAAGAGACCGCGAAACCGUUAGGAGGGAAACGCAUGCAGCCGAACAGGCCCUCGUCGGGUUCAGGGGGUCUCGGGGUUCCGGUCGAGGCGGGCGUCACCCAGUCGGGGUCGUCGACUCGGACGGUUCCCCUUGCCCCUGCACUCCCGGCGGUGUGGGCCGGCCAAGGGCGGUGGUGUCCGCGGCGAAGAGGACGGUCGGGCAGGUGGUGCAGCCGGCCCUCGGGUCGGAGGCGAGCUUACAGCCGUCCGUUCGGCAGGUCGCGGGUCCACCGAGGAGAGCGGUGGCUCGUUUCACCCCGGCAGCGCAGGCCCCCGCCUUCGGGCGGGGCCGGAGCGCUUCUGUCCGUUCAGCCUCCGCGGCGAGGGACUGCUCGCAGUGCCCGACGCGCGUGCGCGAGUCCGGACGGGAGGCCGUCUCACGCCUUGCGCUGCGGCGGCUUGGCCAGCCGUCGGCUUCAUUCGACCCGUCUUG
RNAcentral lists this small RNA (495 nucleotides) under Cinachyrella sp. GW33286. Its description in RNAcentral is "partial large subunit ribosomal RNA". RNAcentral also lists the same sequence under 5 other names. Lineage: Eukaryota; Metazoa; Porifera; Demospongiae; Tetractinellida; Tetillidae. The record is from RNAcentral.